Non-coding RNA from Youngiibacter fragilis 232.1, 68 nucleotides. The record is from Rfam. Lineage: Bacteria; Bacillati; Bacillota; Clostridia; Eubacteriales; Clostridiaceae.
GGAGUAAAGCUUACUGUGAGAAGUCAGCAGACUUCGUAGUACCGGGGAGUAUUUUUACCGGGAAGGAC